UAUUUUUUAUUAUUUAUUUUUUUUGUGGAAUGUCAAAUUGUCCUCAAGCCAAUUAAUUAAGUGGUUCAGAAUUUUAUCAAAUGAAGAAAUACUUGAUGAGUUUAAGUAAGGCAAGAAAUAGAAGAUUUGAUAGCUGCAAAGAAUCCCAUUCUGUUAAUGUACCCUUAUUCUUUUUCCUAUUUCUUCAUUUCUUCUUUUGGUCUAAAUUCCAAGAAAGCCUUAUGAGUCCUAAGAG
Molecule: unclassified non-coding RNA, 235 nt
Filed under: Hevea brasiliensis (rubber tree)
Lineage: Eukaryota; Viridiplantae; Streptophyta; Magnoliopsida; Malpighiales; Euphorbiaceae
Source: RNAcentral